AAUAAUGUGGUUGCCUAGAAGAGACAUCUGACACAGAAAUGAAAGAGAAGUGCUGCUUGCUGAAAUUUACUAGACAUAAUGGAUAUGAAUAUUUUAAACUGAACCUAUAUACAGUACAGUAAGAAAAGGAACAUCUGCUACAUACAAUAUGUGGCUGGAGGGUUUGGGAAGGGGAAGAGUUGAGGGCUGACACUGAUCAGCUGGACACCAUCCAGAAAAGGGGGCUUAAGGGGGGGGAGAUCUCAUUGCUGUAGCAGCCUAGGCUUGCAUUAGGGACAGUGUGGGAAUGAAUGAUGAAGUCUGGAUAGGAUGCAGACUGACACCAUGUGCAGGCAGAGUUAGCAAAUUGGGCUCCUGCAGAAGAGAGCAAAAAGAGGAACAGGAUAGAGGAGACAAAACAAUAGAUAUAAGCGAGGGCUGUGGAGUGGAGUGAGUUAAAUAUUCUACCAGAAACGGACUGAGAAGGGGGAAGGAAAGAGAACAGUGGGUGAGGUUAGGAAGAGAAAGAGAUAAGGGAAAGAAACUAAUCUACUACAGUUGCUGACAUCAGGAGACCUGAUCCAUAUGGUGGGUGCCACUUCUUUUUGGUGGAACCGAAGAAGGAACUCUGAUCUUGGAUGAACGGGAUGAAGGCAGCAGAAUUACCACUUUCUGGACUGACCUCUUCAGAUCUCAGAAGCAAAGCACAACUGGCCCUGUACUAGAUGUGAAAUUCAAGACUGCUAAAUCACCUGUCACGAGUACUACAGUGAUAAAAUCUUACAUCCAGUCAACCGAGACAAUAUUCAUGCUUACAUUCAGCUAACCAUUAGCCAAGCAAGCAGGAACUUUGUUGAAUCUGGUACAGUAUAUUCGGGAGAAUGAUCAAAACUAAAAAAAACAAAAACAAAUGGUGUAUAAAGAGACACUUUUUCUCAGUUGCCUGGCUAUGCUUUGCUGUUUCAGCUAGGUGAGUCUGCUGGUUUUACUUGAGAAAAGAAAACAAAGCGGUGCUGUUUAGUGGUGUGUCAGGGCUCAUUUGGCACUAGUCCUACUACAGAAGGUGACGAAAUCUGGAGAGCGUUGAAUUCUCCCCAAGCGGCAGGUCUCGCCUGUGGCGUAGUGGAAUUCUCCAUGGUCUGGGGGGGGGUGGUGCUCUGUGGCUUUGAAAACAGACUUGAUGGUGAGCCGUUGUGAUUGAAUCCUGGUGGGGGCAGAGCAGCACUCAUCACAUUGGUUUGACUUGGAUCAUAGACACUGAUGCCUAUUAGCUGCUGAGGAGCAGGAGGAAUUUAGAGGUGGAAAGUUUAACUGGGUUCAUUUGGCUUGUAAAAGAAAGUCACAUCAUUUCCUUGGAACCUGGAUACUGUUGAAUUUUCCUGAAACAGAAGGCCUGGCCUUUUGGCAUAGCAGAUUACAAUUCUUUCUGUGAUGCGACUCUGUGUUGCUCUGGAGCUGGAGGUGCUUGUGAGUGUAUGUGAUCGGAUUCCAGGGAGUACUUUACAACUUUGAUACCCUCACUAUGAUCGAUGCCAUUCAAAGGUUGAGGCUUCAGCUGCAAACAAGUAAAACCCAGGAGGAGGAGAAUAAAACAGAACACAUUUGUUAAUGUGCCUGUCACAGAAAUUGAUACCACCUUCUUGGGACUUGAAUAGGGUCGAUCACUCCUGUGGUGAGAGUGAUGCUGUUCACCUUUGAAUCUGGAAUUGAGCAGCUAUGAUUGAAAAACAGUAAGUGCAGAGCUGCAUUCAUCACAGUGACAAAGAGAACAUGAUGCAUUAAUGAGACAUUACAUUUUUGAUGUAUAUAAAAAAAAUCUGUAUCUAUUGUUAAUAUUUGGGCCUUUAGAAGGAAGUCUUUACACUAUCAAUAUACAUGGAAAAUGUAAACUGUUAUUGUACAUUCAACUUUUAAGAAAAAGAGGCUUUUAUUUACAGUAUGUGUUAGAGAAGUACAUCUGUAGAACAGAAAACCAAGCAUAAAAAUAGUCAAUUCACUGGAAUACAACAAUAAAUAUUUUGUUUAGUUUCUUUGGUUAACCAACAGCUGCUAAAAAUAAAAGUGAGGC
Lepisosteus oculatus (spotted gar) is the source of this 2047-nucleotide long non-coding RNA. RefSeq lists it as uncharacterized. The record is from RefSeq and is a predicted model, not a curated record. NCBI's taxonomy places the organism in Eukaryota, Metazoa, Chordata, Actinopteri, Semionotiformes, Lepisosteidae.